RNAcentral lists this ribosomal RNA (210 nucleotides) under uncultured bacterium. Its description in RNAcentral is "partial 16S ribosomal RNA". It matches the Rfam family "Bacterial small subunit ribosomal RNA", at positions 524 to 732 of the family's 1533-position model. The record is from RNAcentral.
UACGUAGGGUGCGAGCGUUGUCCGGAAUUAUUGGGCGUAAAGAGCUUGUAGGCGGUUUGUCGCGUCUGCUGUGAAAAUCCGGGGCUCAACCCCGGACUUGCAGUGGGUACGGGCAGACUAGAGUGUGGUAGGGGAGACUGGAAUUCCUGGUGUAGCGGUGAAAUGCGCAGAUAUCAGGAGGAACACCCGAUGGCGAAGGCGGCGCCCUGG